UUUUUAUAGCUAAAAGAAAAUAUUUUGCGAAUAUAUGUUUAUUAACGUAAUUACUAAAAUUCAGUAGUUUUUAUGAAUUACUCUAUUUUCGGAACUCAACAAAGCAACAGAAAUUUUUAAGUACUUAUUUGUGGGUACAGGAAAUGUUGAAACCCUUAUUGAGAAAUAACUAGGGAUACAGUUGAUGUCCAAGAUUGAAAAUUAGUUUAUCUGAAAAAUUCGAAAAUUGCGAAGCACUAAACAUUACACGUCCGUCAACAUAUGUUUUAUGAAAAUUACAUUAGAGAUUGAGAGAUUCUUAGUCAGGCUAGUGGAUACAGCAAAAAGAAUUGCAUGGGAGUAACUUUAAUGGUACUUCCUUAAUUGGGAUUUGCUGGAACUUUACUUAAGAAUCUAUUAAUCGUUUCGAAGUUAUCAAGUAAGUAAUCAUUCAAAAACUGUUAA
Molecule: long non-coding RNA, 444 nt
Organism: Teleopsis dalmanni
Lineage: Eukaryota; Metazoa; Arthropoda; Insecta; Diptera; Diopsidae
Exons: 3
Source: RefSeq, a predicted model, not a curated record